Molecule: ribosomal RNA, 429 nt
Filed under: Fusobacteriota bacterium
Lineage: Bacteria; Fusobacteriati; Fusobacteriota
Description: Fusobacteria bacterium partial 16S ribosomal RNA
Rfam family: Bacterial small subunit ribosomal RNA
Source: RNAcentral
UGGGGAAUAUUGCACAAUGGGCGCAAGCCUGAUGCAGCCAUGCCGCGUGUAUGAAGAAGGUCUUCGGGUUGUAAAGUACUUUCAGCGGGGAGGAAGGGAGUAAAGUUAAUACCUUUGCUCACUGACGUUACCCGCAGAAGAAGCACCGGCUAACUCCGUGCCAGCAGCCGCGGUAAUACGGAGGGUGCAAGCGUUAAUCGGAAUUACUGGGCGUAAAGCGCACGCAGGCGGUUUGUUAAGUCAGAUGUGAAAUCCCCGGGCUCAACCUGGGAACUGCAUCUGAUACUUGCAAGCUUGAGUCUCGUAGAGGGAGGUAGAAUUCCAGGUGUAGCGGUGAAAUGCGUAGAGAUCUGGAGGAAUACCGGUGGCGAAGGCGGCCCCCUGGACGAAGACUGACGCUCAGGUGCGAAAGCGUGGGGAGCAAACAGG